UGGGUCAGCGACUUAUAUUCUGUAGCAAGGUUAACCGAAUAGGGGAGCCGGAGGGAAACCGAGUCUUAAUUGGGCGUUAAGUUGCAGGGUAUAGACCCGAAACCCGGUGAUCUAGCCAUGGGCAGGUUGAAGGUUGGGUAACACUAACUGGAGGACCGAACCGACUAAUGUUGAAAAAUUAGCGGAUGACCUGUGGCUGGGGGUGAAAGGCCAAUCAAACCGGGAGAUAGCUGGUUCUCCCCGAAAGCUAUUUAGGUAGCGCCUCGUGAAUUCAUCUCCGGGGGUAGAGCACUGUUUCGGCUAGGGGGCCAUCCCGGCUUACCAACCCGAUGCAAACUGCGAAUACCGGAGAAUGUUAUCACGGGAGACACACGGCGGGUGCUAACGUCCGUCGUGAAGAGGGAAACAACCCAGACCGCCAGCUAAGGUCCCAAAGUCAUGGUUAAGUGGGAAACGAUGUGGGAAGGCCCAGACAGCCAGGAUGUUGGCUUAGAAGCAGCCAUCAUUUAAAGAAAGCGUAAUAGCUCACUGGUCGAGUCGGCCUGCGCGGAAGAUGUAACGGGGCUAAACCAUGCACCGAAGCUGCGGCAGCGACGCUGAUGCGUUGUUGGGUAGGGGAGCGUUCUGUAAGCCUGCGAAGGUGGCCUGUGAGGGUUGCUGGAGGUAUCAGAAGUGCGAAUGCUGACAUAAGUAACGAUAAAGCGGGUGAAAAGCCCGCUCGCCGGAAGACCAAGGGUUCCUGUCCAACGUUAAUCGGGGCAGGGUGAGUCGACCCCUAAGGCGAGGCCGAAAGGCGUAGUCGAUGGGAAACGGGUUAAUAUUCCCGUACUUGGUGUUACUGCGAAGGGGGGACGGAGAAGGCUAUGUUGGCCGGGCGACGGUUGUCCCGGUUUAAGCGUGUAGGUGUGUGUUCCAGGUAAAUCCGGUUCACUUUAACACUGAGGCGUGAUGACGAGGCACUACGGUGCUGAAGCAACAAAUGCCCUGCUUCCAGGAAAAGCCUCUAAGCAUCAGGUAACAUCAAAUCGUACCCCAAACCGACACAGGUGGUCAGGUAGAGAAUACCAAGGCGCUUGAGAGAACUCGGGUGAAGGAACUAGGCAAAAUGGUGCCGUAACUUCGGGAGAAGGCACGCUGACACGUAGGUGAAGUGAUUUACUCAUGGAGCUGAAGUCAGUCGAAGAUACCAGCUGGCUGCAACUGUUUAUUAAAAACACAGCACUGUGCAAACACGAAAGUGGACGUAUACGGUGUGACGCCUGCCCGGUGCCGGAAGGUUAAUUGAUGGGGUCAGCGCAAGCGAAGCUCCUGAUCGAAGCCCCGGUAAACGGCGGCCGUAACUAUAACGGUCCUAAGGUAGCGAAAUUCCUUGUCGGGUAAGUUCCGACCUGCACGAAUGGCGUAAUGAUGGCCAGGCUGUCUCCACCCGAGACUCAGUGAAAUUGAACUCGCUGUGAAGAUGCAGUGUACCCGCGGCAAGACGGAAAGACCCCGUGAACCUUUACUAUAGCUUGACACUGAACAUUGAGCCUUGAUGUGUAGGAUAGGUGGGAGGCUUUGAAGUGUGGACGCCAGUCUGCAUGGAGCCGGCCUUGAAAUACCACCCUUUAAUGUUUGAUGUUCUAACGUGGACCCGUGAUCCGGGUUGCGGACAGUGUCUGGUGGGUAGUUUGACUGGGGCGGUCUCCUCCUAAAGAGUAACGGAGGAGCACGAAGGUUGGCUAAUCCUGGUCGGACAUCAGGAGGUUAGUGCAAUGGCAUAAGCCAGCUUGACUGCGAGCGUGACGGCGCGAGCAGGUGCGAAAGCAGGUCAUAGUGAUCCGGUGGUUCUGAAUGGAAGGGCCAUCGCUCAACGGAUAAAAGGUACUCCGGGGAUAACAGGCUGAUACCGCCCAAGAGUUCAUAUCGACGGCGGUGUUUGGCACCUCGAUGUCGGCUCAUCACAUCCUGGGGCUGAAGUAGGUCCCAAGGGUAUGGCUGUUCGCCAUUUAAAGUGGUACGCGAGCUGGGUUUAGAACGUCGUGAGACAGUUCGGUCCCUAUCUGCCGUGGGCGCUGGAGAACUGAGGGGGGCUGCUCCUAGUACGAGAGGACCGGAGUGGACGCAUCACUGGUGUUCGGGUUGUCAUGCCAAUGGCACUGCCCGGUAGCUAAAUGCGGAAGAGAUAAGUGCUGAAAGCAUCUAAGCACGAAACUUGCCCCGAGAUGAGUUCUCCCUGAGACUUAGAGUCUCCUGAAGGAACGUUGAAGACGACGACGUUGAUAGGCCGGGUGUGUAAGCGCAGCGAUGCGUUGAGCUAACCGGUACUAAUGAACCGUGAGGCUUAACCUUACA
RNAcentral lists this ribosomal RNA (2334 nucleotides) under Salmonella enterica subsp. enterica serovar Schwarzengrund. Its description in RNAcentral is "partial 23S ribosomal RNA". It matches the Rfam family "Bacterial large subunit ribosomal RNA", at positions 616 to 2925 of the family's 2925-position model. Lineage: Bacteria; Pseudomonadati; Pseudomonadota; Gammaproteobacteria; Enterobacterales; Enterobacteriaceae. The record is from RNAcentral.